Molecule: ribosomal RNA, 502 nt
Filed under: uncultured bacterium
Lineage: Bacteria
Description: partial 16S ribosomal RNA
Rfam family: Bacterial small subunit ribosomal RNA
Source: RNAcentral
ACUCAAAUGAAUUGACGGGGGCCCGCACAAGCGGUGGAGCAUGUGGUUUAAUUCGACGCAACGCGAAGAACCUUACCAGCUCUUGACAUGCCCGGUAUGGGGCCGAGAGAUCGGCUCUUUCAGUUCGGCUGGCCGGUGCACAGGUGCUGCAUGGCUGUCGUCAGCUCGUGUCGUGAGAUGUUGGGUUAAGUCCCGCAACGAGCGCAACCCUCACCUUUAGUUGCCAUCAGGUUAAGCUGGGCACUCUGAAGGAACUGCCGGUGACAAGCCGGAGGAAGGCGGGGAUGACGUCAAGUCCUCAUGGCCUUUAUGGGCUGGGCUACACACGUGCUACAAUGGCGGUGACAGUGGGACGCGAAGGGGCAACCCUUGGCCAAUCUCAAAAAGCCGUCUCAGUUCGGAUUGUCCUCUGCAACUCGAGGGCAUGAAGCUGGAAUCGCUAGUAAUCGCGGAUCAGCACGCCGCGGUGAAUACGUUCCCGGGCCUUGUACACACCGCCCGU